GACAGAGGGUGCAAACGUUGUUCGGAAUUACUGGGCGUAAAGCGUGUGUAGGUGGCCGCGCAAGUCGGAUGUGAAAGCCCUGGGCUCAACUCAGGAAGUGCACCCGAUACUGCGUGGCUCGAGUACCGGAGAGGUUGGUGGAAUUCUCGGUGUAGAGGUGAAAUUCGUAGAUAUCGGGUGGAACACCGGUGGCGAAGGCGGCUCACUGGUCCGGUUCUGACGCUGAGGCGCGAAAGCGUGGGGAGCAAACAGG
RNAcentral lists this ribosomal RNA (253 nucleotides) under uncultured bacterium. RNAcentral describes it as "partial 16S ribosomal RNA". It matches the Rfam family "Bacterial small subunit ribosomal RNA", at positions 524 to 776 of the family's 1533-position model. The record is from RNAcentral.